GCCAGGCACAGAGGUGCAUGCCUGUAAUCCCAGCUGCUCAGGAGGCUGAGGCAAGAGGAUCUUGAGUUCAAAGCUAGUUCAGCAACUUAUCGAGGCACUAAGCUAUUCAAUGAGACCGUGUCUCUA
This 126-nucleotide small RNA is filed under the name Marmota monax (woodchuck). The record is from RNAcentral. Lineage: Eukaryota; Metazoa; Chordata; Mammalia; Rodentia; Sciuridae.